GAUGAACGCUGGCGGCGUGCCUAAUACAUGCAAGUCGAGCGAACAGACGAGGAGCUUGCUCCUCUGACGUUAGCGGCGGACGGGCGAGUAACACGUGGAUAACCUACCUAUAUGACUGGGAUAACUUCGGGAAACCGGAGCUAAUACCGGAUAAUAUAUUGUACCGCAUGGUUCAAUAGUGAAUGACGGUUUUGCUGUCACUUUUAGAUGGUUCCGCGCCGCAUUAGCUAGUUGGUAAGGUAACGGCUUACCAAGGCAACGAUGCGUAGCCGACCUGAGAGGAUGAUCGGCCACACUGGAACUGAGACACGGUCCAGACUCCUACGGGAGGCAGCAGUGGGGAAUAUUCGGCAAUGGGCGAAAGCCUGACGCAGCAACGCCGCGUGAGUGAAGAAGGUCUUCGGGUCGUAAAACUCUGUUAUUAGGGAAGAACAGCUGCGUGAGUAACUAUGCACGUCUUGACGGUACCUAAUCAGAAAGCAACGGCUAACUACGUG
Molecule: ribosomal RNA, 497 nt
Filed under: uncultured bacterium
Lineage: Bacteria
Description: partial 16S ribosomal RNA
Rfam family: Bacterial small subunit ribosomal RNA
Source: RNAcentral